ACUCCUACGGGGGGCAGCAGUGGGGAAUAUUGCACAAUGGGCGGAAGCCUGAUGCAGCAACGCCGCGUGAGGGAUGACGGCCUUCGGGUUGUAAACCUCUUUUAGCAGGGAAGAAGCGUGAGUGACGGUACCUGCAGAAAAAGCGCCGGCUAACUACGUGCCAGCAGCCGCGGUAAUACGUAGGGCGCAAGCGUUAUCCGGAAUUAUUGGGCGUAAAGAGCUCGUAGGCGGUUUGUCGCGUCUGCUGUGAAAUCUGGAGGCUCAACCUCCAGCCUGCAGUGGGUACGGGCAGACUAGAGUGCGGUAGGGGAGAUUGGAAUUCCUGGUGUAGCGGUGGAAUGCGCAGAUAUCAGGAGGAACACCGAUGGCGAAGGCAGAUCUCUGGGCCGUAACUGACGCUGAGGAGCGAAAGGGUGGGGAGCAAACAGGCUUAGAUACCCUGGUAGUCCACCCCGUAAACGUUGGGAACUAGUUGUGGGGGCCUUUCCACGGUCUCCGUGACGCAGCUAACGCAUUAAGUUCCCCGCCUGGGGAGUACGGCCGC
This 544-nucleotide ribosomal RNA is filed under the name Microbacterium sp. B15. Its description in RNAcentral is "bacterial SSU rRNA". It matches the Rfam family "Bacterial small subunit ribosomal RNA", at positions 335 to 889 of the family's 1533-position model. Lineage: Bacteria; Bacillati; Actinomycetota; Actinomycetes; Micrococcales; Microbacteriaceae. The record is from RNAcentral.